This 253-nucleotide ribosomal RNA is filed under the name uncultured bacterium. RNAcentral describes it as "partial 16S ribosomal RNA". It matches the Rfam family "Bacterial small subunit ribosomal RNA", at positions 524 to 776 of the family's 1533-position model. The record is from RNAcentral.
UACGUAGGGGGCAAGCGUUGUCCGGAAUCAUUGGGCGUAAAGCGCGUGUAGGCGGCUCGAUAAGUCUGCUGUGAAAGUUCAGGGCUCAACCCUGAAAUGCCGGUGGAAACUGUCGGGCUAGAGUCCGGAAGAGGCGAGUGGAAUUCCUGGUGUAGCGGUGAAAUGCGCAGAUAUCAGGAGGAACACCAAUGGCGAAGGCGGCUCUCUGGGACGGUACUGACGCUGAGACGCGAAAGCGUGGGGAGCGAACAGG